This 562-nucleotide ribosomal RNA is filed under the name Dothiorella viticola. RNAcentral's name for it is "eukaryotic LSU rRNA". It matches the Rfam family "Eukaryotic large subunit ribosomal RNA", at positions 90 to 667 of the family's 3401-position model. The record is from RNAcentral. Lineage: Eukaryota; Fungi; Ascomycota; Dothideomycetes; Botryosphaeriales; Botryosphaeriaceae.
CGAGUGAAGCGGCAAUAGCUCAAAUUUGAAAGCUGGCCCCUUUGGGGUCCGCGUUGUAAUUUGUAGAGGAUGAUUCGGCGAGGGCUCCCGUCUAAGUCCCCUGGAACGGGGCGUCAUAGAGGGUGAGAAUCCCGUAUGUGAUGGGUUGCCUUAGCCAUGUGAAUCUCCUUCGACGAGUCGAGUUGUUUGGGAAUGCAGCUCUAAAUGGGAGGUAAAUUUCUUCUAAAGCUAAAUACCGGCCAGAGACCGAUAGCGCACAAGUAGAGUGAUCGAAAGAUGAAAAGCACUUUGGAAAGAGAGUUAAAAAGUACGUGAAAUUGUUGAAAGGGAAGCGCUUGCAGCCAGACUUGUCCGCAGUUGCUCAGCCGGUCUCCUGACCGGCGUACUCUUCUGCGGCCAGGCCAGCAUCAGUUCGGGCGGUCGGAUAAAGACCCUAGGAAUGUAGCUCCUCUCGGGGAGUGUUAUAGCCUGGGGUGGAAUGCGGCCAGCCUGGACUGAGGAUCUCGCUUCGGCUAGGAUGCUGGCGUAAUGGCUGUAAGCGGCCCGUCUUGAAACACGGACC